This 799-nucleotide ribosomal RNA is filed under the name uncultured bacterium. Its description in RNAcentral is "bacterial SSU rRNA". It matches the Rfam family "Bacterial small subunit ribosomal RNA", at positions 8 to 798 of the family's 1533-position model. The record is from RNAcentral.
AGAGUUUGAUCCUGGCUCAGGAUGAACGCUAGCGGCAGGCUUAAUACAUGCAAGUCGAGGGGCAGCAUGAGUGUAGCAAUACAUUUGAUGGCGACCGGCAAACGGGUGCGGAACACGUACACAACCUUCCUAUAAGUGGGGAAUAGCCCAGAGAAAUUUGGAUUAAUACCCCGUAACAUAAUGAUGUGGCAUCACAUUAUUAUUAUAGCUACGGCGCUUAUUGAUGGGUGUGCGGCUGAUUAGAUAGUUGGCGGGGUAACGGCCCACCAAGUCUACGAUCAGUAGCUGAUGUGAGAGCAUGAUCAGCCACACGGGCACUGAGACACGGGCCCGACUCCUACGGGAGGCAGCAGUAAGGAAUAUUGGUCAAUGGACGCAAGUCUGAACCAGCCAUGCCGCGUGAAGGAUUAAGGUCCUCUGGAUUGUAAACUUCUUUUAUCUGGGACGAAAAAAGGCGAUUCUUCGUCACUUGACGGUACCAGAUGAAUAAGCACCGGCUAACUCCGUGCCAGCAGCCGCGGUAAUACGGAGGGUGCAAGCGUUAUCCGGAUUCACUGGGUUUAAAGGGUGCGUAGGCGGGUAGGUAAGUCAGUGGUGAAAUCCUGGAGCUUAACUCCAGAACUGCCAUUGAUACUAUCUAUCUUGAAUAUUGUGGAGGUAAGCGGAAUAUGUCAUGUAGCGGUGAAAUGCUUAGAUAUGACAUAGAACACCUAUUGCGAAGGCGGCUUACUACGCAUAUAUUGACGCUGAGGCACGAAAGCGUGGGGAUCAAACAGGAUUAGAUACCCUGGUAGUCCAA